UACGAAGGGGGCUAGCGUUGCUCGGAAUCACUGGGCGUAAAGCGCACGUAGGCGGAUCGUUAAGUCAGGGGUGAAAUCCUGGAGCUCAAAUCCAGAACUGCCCUUGAUACUGGCGAUCUCGAGUUCGAGAGAGGUUGGUGGAACUCCGAGUGUAGAGGUGAAAUUCGUAGAUAUUCGGAAGAACACCAGUGGCGAAGGCGGCCAACUGGCUCGAUACUGACGCUGAGGUGCGAAAGCGUGGGGAGCAAACAGG
This 253-nucleotide ribosomal RNA is filed under the name uncultured bacterium. RNAcentral's name for it is "partial 16S ribosomal RNA". It matches the Rfam family "Bacterial small subunit ribosomal RNA", at positions 524 to 776 of the family's 1533-position model. The record is from RNAcentral.